GACGAACGCUGGCGGCGUGCUUAACACAUGCAAGUCGAACGGAAAGGCCCUGCUUUUGGGGGGUGCUCGAGUGGCGAACGGGUGAGUAACACGUGAGUAACCUGCCCUUGACUUUGGGAUAACUUCAGGAAACUGGGGCUAAUACCGGAUAGGAGCUCCUGCUGCAUGGUGGGGGUUGGAAAGUUUCGGCGGUUGGGGAUGGACUCGCGGCUUAUCAGCUUGUUGGUGGGGUAGUGGCUUACCAAGGCUUUGACGGGUAGCCGGCCUGAGAGGGUGACCGGCCACAUUGGGACUGAGAUACCGCCCAGACUCCUACGGGAGGCAGCAGUGGGGAAUAUUGCACAAUGGGCGGAAGCCUGAUGCAGCAACGCCGCGUGCGGGAUGACGGCCUUCGGGUUGUAAACCGCUUUCGCCUGUGACGAAGCGUGAGUGACGGUAAUGGGUAAAGAAGCACCGGCUAACUACGUG
RNAcentral lists this ribosomal RNA (468 nucleotides) under uncultured bacterium. RNAcentral's name for it is "partial 16S ribosomal RNA". It matches the Rfam family "Bacterial small subunit ribosomal RNA", at positions 28 to 507 of the family's 1533-position model. The record is from RNAcentral.